RNAcentral lists this ribosomal RNA (466 nucleotides) under Streptomyces bikiniensis. RNAcentral's name for it is "bacterial SSU rRNA". It matches the Rfam family "Bacterial small subunit ribosomal RNA", at positions 1 to 487 of the family's 1533-position model. Lineage: Bacteria; Bacillati; Actinomycetota; Actinomycetes; Kitasatosporales; Streptomycetaceae. The record is from RNAcentral.
UGGAGGAAUUUGAUCCUGGCUCAGGACGAACGCUGGCGGCGUGCUUAACACAUGCAAGUCGAACGAUGAAGCCCUUCGGGGUGGAUUAGUGGCGAACGGGUGAGUAACACGUGGGCAAUCUGCCCUUCACUCUGGGACAAGCCCUGGAAACGGGGUCUAAUACCGGAUACGACCUGGGAAGGCAUCUUCUCGGGUGGAAAGCUCCGGCGGUGAAGGAUGAGCCCGCGGCCUAUCAGCUUGUUGGUGAGGUAACGGCUCACCAAGGCGACGACGGGUAGCCGGCCUGAGAGGGCGACCGGCCACACUGGGACUGAGACACGGCCCAGACUCCUACGGGAGGCAGCAGUGGGGAAUAUUGCACAAUGGGCGAAAGCCUGAUGCAGCGACGCCGCGUGAGGGAUGACGGCCUUCGGGUUGUAAACCUCUUUCAGCAGGGAAGAAGCGAAAGUGACGGUACCUGCAGAAG